This 430-nucleotide ribosomal RNA is filed under the name Bacteroidota bacterium. RNAcentral's name for it is "Bacteroidetes bacterium partial 16S ribosomal RNA". It matches the Rfam family "Bacterial small subunit ribosomal RNA", at positions 355 to 776 of the family's 1533-position model. The record is from RNAcentral. Lineage: Bacteria; Pseudomonadati; Bacteroidota.
UAGGGAAUCUUCGGCAAUGGGGGGAACCCUGACCGAGCAACGCCGCGUGAGUGAAGAAGGUUUUCGGAUCGUAAAGCUCUGUUGUUAAGGAAGAACGAGUGUGAGAAUGGAAAGUUCAUGCUGUGACGGUACUUAACCAGAAAGGUACGGCUAACUACGUGCCAGCAGCCGCGGUAAUACGUAGGUCCCGAGCGUUGUCCGGAUUUAUUGGGCGUAAAGCGAGCGCAGGCGGUCAAUUAAGUCUGAUGUGAAAGCCCCCGGCUCAACCGGGGAGGGUCAUUGGAAACUGGUUGACUUGAGUGCAGAAGAGGGGAGUGGAAUUCCAUGUGUAGCGGUGAAAUGCGUAGAUAUAUGGAGGAACACCAGUGGCGAAGGCGACUCUCUGGUCUGUAACUGACGCUGAGGCUCGAAAGCGUGGGGAGCGAACAGG